RNAcentral lists this ribosomal RNA (253 nucleotides) under uncultured bacterium. RNAcentral's name for it is "partial 16S ribosomal RNA". It matches the Rfam family "Bacterial small subunit ribosomal RNA", at positions 524 to 776 of the family's 1533-position model. The record is from RNAcentral.
UACGGAGGGUGCAAGCGUUAUCCGGAUUCACUGGGCUUAAAGGGAGCGUAGGUGGGCAUGUAAGUCAGUGGUGAAAUCUCCGUGCUUAACCCGGAAACUGCCAUUGAUACUAUGUUUCUUGAAUUUUCUGGAGGUUAGCGGAAUAUGUCAUGUAGCGGUGAAAUGCUUAGAUAUGACAUAGAACACCAAUUGCGAAGGCAGCUAACUACAGGGAUAUUGACACUGAGGCUCGAAAGCGUGGGGAUCAAACAGG